Molecule: ribosomal RNA, 414 nt
Filed under: uncultured bacterium
Lineage: Bacteria
Description: bacterial SSU rRNA
Rfam family: Bacterial small subunit ribosomal RNA
Source: RNAcentral
UGGGGAAUAUUGGACAAUGGGCGAAAGCCUGAUCCAGCCAUGCCGCGUGUGUGAAGAAGGUCUUCGGAUUGUAAAGCACUUUAAGUUGGGAGGAAGGGCAGUUACCUAAUACGUGAUUGUUUUGACGUUACCGACAGAAUAAGCACCGGCUAACUCUGUGCCAGCAGCCGCGGUAAUACAGAGGGUGCAAGCGUUAAUCGGAAUUACUGGGCGUAAAGCGCGCGUAGGUGGUUAGUUAAGUUGGAUGUGAAAUCCCCGGGCUCAACCUGGGAACUGCAUUCAAAACUGACUGACUAGAGUAUGGUAGAGGGUGGUGGAAUUUCCUGUGUAGCGGUGAAAUGCGUAGAUAUAGGAAGGAACACCAGUGGCGAAGGCGACCACCUGGACUGAUACUGACACUGAGGUGCGAAAGCG